GGGUUGUGAGGUUAAGCGACUAAGCGUACACGGUGGAUGCCCUGGCAGUCAGAGGCGAUGAAGGGCGUGCUAAUCUGCGAUAAGCGCCGGUAAGGUGAUAUGAACCGUUAUAACCGGCGAUACCCGAAUGGGGAAACCCAGUGUGACUCGUCACACUAUCAUUAACUGAAUCCAUAGGUUAAUGAGGCGAACCGGGGGAACUGAAACAUCUAAGUACCCCGAGGAAAAGAAAUCAACCGAGAUUCCCCCAGUAGCGGCGAGCGAACGGGGAGGAGCCCAGAGCCUGAAUCAGCAUGUGUGUUAGUGGAAGCGUCUGGAAAGGCGCGCGAUACAGGGUGACAGCCCCGUACACAAAAGCGCAUGUGCUGUGAGCUCGAUGAGUAGGGCGGGACACGUGGUAUCCUGUCUGAAUAUGGGGGGACCAUCCUCCAAGGCUAAAUACUCCUGACUGACCGAUAGUGAACCAGUACCGUGAGGGAAAGGCGAAAAGAACCCCGGCGAGGGGAGUGAAAAAGAACCUGAAACCGUGUACGUACAAGCAGUGGGAGCACAGGUUUACCUGUGUGACUGCGUACCUUUUGUAUAAUGGGUCAGCGACUUAUAUUCUGUAGCAAGGUUAACCGUAUAGGGGAGCCGGAGGGAAACCGAGUCUUAACCGGGCGUUAAGUUGCAGGGUAUAGACCCGAAACCCGGUGAUCUAGCCAUGGGCAGGUUGAAGGUUGGGUAACACUAACUGGAGGACCGAACCGACUAAUGUUGAAAAAUUAGCGGAUGACCUGUGGCUGGGGGUGAAAGGCCAAUCAAACCGGGAGAUAGCUGGUUCUCCCCGAAAGCUAUUUAGGUAGCGCCUCGUGAAUUCAUCUCCGGGGGUAGAGCACUGUUUCGGCUAGGGGGCCAUCCCGGCUUACCAACCCGAUGCAAACUGCGAAUACCGGAGAAUGUUAUCACGGGAGACACACGGCGGGUGCUAACGUCCGUCGUGAAGAGGGAAACAACCCAGACCGCCAGCUAAGGUCCCAAAGUCAUGGUUAAGUGGGAAACGAUGUGGGAAGGCCCAGACAGCCAGGAUGUUGGCUUAGAAGCAGCCAUCAUUUAAAGAAAGCG
Molecule: ribosomal RNA, 1104 nt
Filed under: Salmonella enterica
Lineage: Bacteria; Pseudomonadati; Pseudomonadota; Gammaproteobacteria; Enterobacterales; Enterobacteriaceae
Description: partial 23S ribosomal RNA
Rfam family: Bacterial large subunit ribosomal RNA
Source: RNAcentral